Molecule: ribosomal RNA, 253 nt
Filed under: uncultured bacterium
Lineage: Bacteria
Description: partial 16S ribosomal RNA
Rfam family: Bacterial small subunit ribosomal RNA
Source: RNAcentral
UACGUAGGGUGCGAGCGUUGUCCGGAAUUACUGGGCGUAAAGAGCUCGUAGGUGGUUUGUCGCGUUGUUCGUGAAAACUCACAGCUUAACUGUGGGCGUGCGGGCGAUACGGGCAGACUGGAGUACUGCAGGGGAGACUGGAAUUCCUGGUGUAGCGGUGAAAUGCGCAGAUAUCAGGAGGAACACCGGUGGCGAAGGCGGGUCUCUGGGCCGAUACUGACGCUCAUGCACGAAAGCGUGGGGAGCAAACAGG